AGCUCCAAUAGCGUAUAUUAAAGUUGUUGCGGUUAAAAAGCUCGUAGUUGGAUUUCUGCCGAGGACGACCGGUCCGCCUCUGGGUGUGUAUCUGGCUCGGCCUGGGCAUCUUCUUGGAGAACGUAGCUGCACUUGAUUGUGUGGUGUGGUAUCCAAGACUUUUACUUUGAGGAAAUUAGAGUGUUUCAAGCAGGCACACG
This 200-nucleotide ribosomal RNA is filed under the name uncultured eukaryote. RNAcentral's name for it is "partial 18S ribosomal RNA". It matches the Rfam family "Eukaryotic small subunit ribosomal RNA", at positions 587 to 790 of the family's 1831-position model. The record is from RNAcentral.